Non-coding RNA from Acanthosepion pharaonis, 107 nucleotides. NCBI's taxonomy places the organism in Eukaryota, Metazoa, Mollusca, Cephalopoda, Sepiida, Sepiidae. The record is from the annotation of a GenBank genome assembly.
UAUGGCCAUAUCAUCUUGAAACAACCUUUCCCAUCGAAUCUCCGAAAUUAAACAACUAUGAGCCUGGUCAGUACCUGGAUUGAUGACCGCAUGGGAAUACAAGGUAC